CAGUAGCCGCGGUAAUACGAAGGGGGCUAGCGUUGUUCGGAUUUACUGGGCGUAAAGCGCACGUAGGCGGAUCCUUAAGUCAGAGGUGAAAUCCCAAGGCUCAACCUUGGAACUGCCUUUGAUACUGGGGAUCUCGAGUUCGGGAGAGGUGAGUGGAACUGCGAGUGUAGAGGUGAAAUUCGUAGAUAUUCGCAAGAACACCAGUGGCGAAGGCGGCUCACUGGCCCGAUACUGACGCUGAGGUGCGAAAGCGUGGGGAGCAAACAGGAUUAGAUACCCCAGUAGUCCCUGUCUCUUAUAC
RNAcentral lists this ribosomal RNA (301 nucleotides) under uncultured bacterium. RNAcentral's name for it is "partial 16S ribosomal RNA". It matches the Rfam family "Bacterial small subunit ribosomal RNA", at positions 509 to 807 of the family's 1533-position model. The record is from RNAcentral.